UUGAAAUCAAACUUGGCUUCACCUCUCGCGGAAACUCACCAACUCACUUCUCCCCCCACCAAACUCAUCACCGACUCGACUCACUGAUACCCAGUCCGGUGACUCCACUGUCCUCAGAGUCACUCUUUUUCCGAAGCCCAGGUACUGAGUCAUCGUCGUCUCCAACAGUUUCAGAGGAGGAGAAGGCGAUAGCAGAGACGGUUUUAUCUGCAUCCAUCACCGCUGACU
Molecule: unclassified non-coding RNA, 228 nt
Filed under: Hevea brasiliensis (rubber tree)
Lineage: Eukaryota; Viridiplantae; Streptophyta; Magnoliopsida; Malpighiales; Euphorbiaceae
Source: RNAcentral